UACGGGGGGUGCAAGCGUUACUCGGAAUCACUGGGCGUAAAGAGCAUGUAGGCGGGUAAAUAAGUUGGAAGUGAAAUCCUAUAGCUUAACUAUAGAACUGCUUCCAAAACUGUUUACCUAGAAUAUGGGAGAGGUAGAUGGAAUUUCUGGUGUAGGGGUAAAAUCCGUAGAGAUCAGAAGGAAUACCGAUUGCGAAGGCGAUCUACUGGAACAUUAUUGACGCUCAGAUGCGAAAGCGUGGGGAGCAAACAGG
This 253-nucleotide ribosomal RNA is filed under the name uncultured bacterium. RNAcentral describes it as "partial 16S ribosomal RNA". It matches the Rfam family "Bacterial small subunit ribosomal RNA", at positions 524 to 776 of the family's 1533-position model. The record is from RNAcentral.